Molecule: ribosomal RNA, 924 nt
Filed under: uncultured Bacteroides sp.
Lineage: Bacteria; Pseudomonadati; Bacteroidota; Bacteroidia; Bacteroidales; Bacteroidaceae
Description: bacterial SSU rRNA
Rfam family: Bacterial small subunit ribosomal RNA
Source: RNAcentral
AGAGUUUGAUCCUGGCUCAGGAUGAACGCUAGCGGCAGGCUUAACACAUGCAAGUCGAGGGGUAACAGGGUGCUUGCACCGCUGACGACCGGCGCACGGGUGCGUAACGCGUAUACAAUCUACCUUGUACUAGGGGAUAGCCUUUAGAAAUGAAGAUUAAUACCCUAUGGUCUAUUUGAAUGGCAUCAUUUAAAUAGUAAAGGUUACGGUACAAGAUGAGUAUGCGUCCUAUUAGUUAGUUGGUAAGGUAACGGCUUACCAAGACAACGAUAGGUAGGGGCCCUGAGAGGGGGAUCCCCCACACUGGUACUGAGACACGGACCAGACUCCUACGGGAGGCAGCAGUGAGGAAUAUUGGACAAUGGGCGAGAGCCUGAUCCAGCCAUGCCGCGUGCAGGAAGACGGCCCUAUGGGUUGUAAACUGCUUUUAUACAGGAAGAAACACUCCCUCGUGAGGGAGCUUGACGGUACUGUAAGAAUAAGGACCGGCUAACUCCGUGCCAGCAGCCGCGGUAAUACGGAGGGUCCGAGCGUUAUCCGGAAUCAUUGGGUUUAAAGGGUCCGUAGGCGGGCAGCUCAGUCAGUGGUGAGAGUUUGCAGCUCAACUGUAAAAUUGCCAUUGAUACUGGUUGUCUUGAAUUAAUGUGAAGUGGUUAGAAUAAGUAGUGUAGCGGUGAAAUGCAUAGAUAUUACUUGGAAUACCAAUUGCGAAGGCAGAUCACUAACAUUAUAUUGACGCUGAUGGACGAAAGCGUGGGGAGCGAACAGGAUUAGAUACCCUGGUAGUCCACGCCGUAAACGAUGGAUACUAGCUGUUCGGUAGCAAUACUGAGUGGCUAAGCGAAAGUGAUAAGUAUCCCACCUGGGGAGUACGUUCGCAAGAAUGAAACUCAAAGGAAUUGACGGGGGCCCCGCACAAGCGGU